This 258-nucleotide ribosomal RNA is filed under the name uncultured bacterium. Its description in RNAcentral is "partial 16S ribosomal RNA". It matches the Rfam family "Bacterial small subunit ribosomal RNA", at positions 524 to 776 of the family's 1533-position model. The record is from RNAcentral.
UACGUAGGCAGCAAGCGUUGUUCGGAGUUACUGGGCGUAAAGGGCGCGUAGGCGGCCAGCACAAGUCAGUUGUGAAAUCUCCGAGCUUAACUCGGAAAGGUCAACUGAUACUGUGCGGCUAGAGUGCAGAAGGGGCAACUGGAAUUCUUGGUGUAGCGGUGAAAUGCGUAGAUAUCAAGAGGGAACACCUGCGGCGAAGGCGGGUUGCUGGGCCGACACGUGACGGCUGAGGCGACGAAAGCCAGGGGAGCGAACGGG